RNAcentral lists this transfer RNA (92 nucleotides) under Penicillium ucsense. It matches the Rfam family "tRNA". Rfam says of the family: Transfer RNA (tRNA) molecules are approximately 80 nucleotides in length. Their secondary structure includes four short double-helical elements and three loops (D, anti-codon, and T loops). Further hydrogen bonds mediate the characteristic L-shaped molecular structure. tRNAs have two regions of fundamental functional importance: the anti-codon, which is responsible for specific mRNA codon recognition, and the 3' end, to which the tRNAs corresponding amino acid is attached (by aminoacyl-tRNA synthetases). tRNAs cope with the degeneracy of the genetic code in two manners: having more than one tRNA (with a specific anti-codon) for a particular amino acid; and 'wobble' base-pairing, i.e. permitting non-standard base-pairing at the 3rd anti-codon position. Lineage: Eukaryota; Fungi; Ascomycota; Eurotiomycetes; Eurotiales; Aspergillaceae. The record is from Rfam by way of RNAcentral.
GGCGGUUUGGCCGAGUGGUCUAAGGCGAUUGACUCGAAUUAGUCGGUUAUCAAUUCCCUUCGGGGGCGUCGGUUCGAAUCCGACAGCCGUCG